RNAcentral lists this long non-coding RNA (1238 nucleotides) under Gallus gallus (chicken). RNAcentral describes it as "lncRNA (ENSGALG00010014271.1)". The record is from RNAcentral. Lineage: Eukaryota; Metazoa; Chordata; Aves; Galliformes; Phasianidae.
AUCCAAUUUUGAGAGAUCCGUCUUUGAAAUAAGAACUAUUGCUUGCUGAGGUCCUGGUCUCACAGGCUUUUACUGCCAGGGUCAGCCCAGGAAUGGAGGGAUAUUUGGGAAGGCAGCUUGGGAUGUCAGAGGAGAGAAUAAACUGAAUCCAAGGUGAAGAAAGCACAAUCUUCACUGAGCUUGGAGGAAAGGAAGGCCCUCCAUACAGCCCCUAACUCCCUUUUGGAGCAUUUCCGUGGACAGAUGUAGAUGGAUAGCAUUCCUUCCAAGUCUCCUUCUCCUUUAUUAAACUAUGCUUCAUUAUGUUGGCAUCCUACUUCCAGAUGAUACAGAUAGUACUGUAUAGCCUGCAGUGUGAUAUUAAACACCUCGAUAAAAAUUCGUGCCUUGGUUACACACUGUAAACUCUGCUGAACUCACUCUUUUUUCCCUUGGAUCUGUCCUCCUUUCUCAUUUCUACUGCAUAUUAUUUUCUAGCAGACUGCGUUGGAUUUCAGUCUACACCAUUGUUACAUCUGCACAAGGAAAUUACAGAGAGCCAGGCCCAUGACUAUCCAUGCUGGUUAAUUGUUAACAUGCUUCCUUGCACAAUUUCAAACAUUGAGCAUGGUCCUGGCCACUUCCAGGCAUGGCUCAGAGGAUUACAGAGGUCAGAACGCUCUCCAAAAGGCAACAAGGGCUGGGAGGGUAGUGGGAAGUUUAACUUCAGAGAUGCCAUCCAUGCAACUCACACUUCGGGACAGACAGCGGGCUCUGGUAUGUUUAUUUACUGUUAUAGAAGUAAUGUGUGUGAAUGACAUUUGUCCCACUUUUUUUUUUUUUUUUUUUUUUUCUCUCACUAGUUCACCACUCCCAAAGAAGAAAAGCAAACCUUAGCAAGGCCUUUGUUUCAUCUGCUUCAGGAUCGGAUUUCUUUCUGAAGGGGUGGGCUCUGUGCCUGCCAGCAGCGCAGCAGGGAAUGUUUACUCUGAGACACGAAGAGAUGUUUCCCUUUCUUCUCAUGUGAUUUUUUUUCUAAGGAGGGAGGGUAAAGAAUUCUCUCAAGAAAAGAUCUCAUAAAACAAACACAACUUCUGAAAACGUGUUAAUUUGAGAGUUCUUUUUCUGUUUUAUGAAAAAUCUAUGUGAAAAAUAAAUUGAGGAAAACCACAUCACACGUUACUGCUGCCUAGCUGUCUUCUGUGUCUGCUGGAUCAGCCGUUGCAAAAUGCUUGUCAUUUGCAGUGUCUCAGGCAGGG